GAGGGAGAUAGACCAUAUCACAAAGUUUUUUACAUAAUUACCCUUCACUUACUUCAUAUUUUACAAUUCAAAGCAUCAAUUUAAGUAACUUCCACGUACAAUAAUCACCUAGAGGUUAUUGUAGAUGAGAGAGACAUGGAAUAAGUAUCUUGAAGUUAUAUGGAACUGUCAAUUCUUCUCUCAUCUAUUUUUUUUCAUUUUUUAUUUUUGUCUUUCAUAUUAUGGUUUCAACCUUUUCUAUUUUUGUCUUCCAUAUGGUUUCAACCUUUAUCAUCACUUUCAUUCUUCUAAUGUCAUGGUAUUUUAAUUAAUUGUUUUGAUGUUGAAAUGUGUACGUGUUUGCUCAAUUUAGUUUUGUAUUUGUCUGAUCCUUUUUGUUACUUUUAAUUUAUUUAUUUAUUCUUUUUAUUAUGUGCAAUUUUGGUGGAAGUGAACACUACUCGAGAGAG
This 449-nucleotide long non-coding RNA is filed under the name Lathyrus oleraceus (garden pea). RNAcentral's name for it is "Pisum sativum (pea) long non-coding RNA (PSAT_LNC038803)". Lineage: Eukaryota; Viridiplantae; Streptophyta; Magnoliopsida; Fabales; Fabaceae. The record is from RNAcentral.